Molecule: long non-coding RNA, 918 nt
Filed under: Junco hyemalis (dark-eyed junco)
Lineage: Eukaryota; Metazoa; Chordata; Aves; Passeriformes; Passerellidae
Description: lncRNA (ENSJHYG00000010954.1)
Source: RNAcentral
CAGGAGUUAAUGUGGGAUUUCUAAGCAGGAAGACUGGAAGAAUCCUAGUAGAUCAGUCAGCGGAGCAGAGUGUUGUGAACCUCAGUGCAAAGACCCACAAGCUGCAAAUCUAUAGCAAAAGGAAGACUGCAAAGAAUCAUGUCAGCAAAUAAGUGGAGGAGGAAGGGCAAAAGAGAAAGUGGGGUGAAAGCCAAAAAUAAACAGCCCUCAGAACAGCCUUCUCCACAUCUUCCUGCUAAUGGCGUCUCUGAAGAAGACUGCUUGUUCCCCUUCAGACAAGCUUUCAGAGGUUAUUUUAAUCCAUUUUUAGUUGCAAAUAGCAUUUAUCAGAAUAAGUGUGGGCUGGUUGCCAGCUCCUUCAGAUCUUUGACAGCCUGGAGGGAUGCAUUGGCUGUUGAGCAGGACAGUCUUUAAACAGUGGAAAGAGUAGGGGAUGACUCACUGCUGCAGCAAGCUGAGGAUGCUUCUGCUCACUGCACUGCCUCCAGACUAAUUAAUUUAUCAUGAAAGUGGAGGAGUUUUGCUGAAUGUCGCCAUGCUCGUUUUCCCUGCCUGGGCUUCCCCCCUUAUUUCUAGGUGGAUCUUUAAUGGAAAAAUUGGGUCUGCCAUCUGUGAGUGCACCCAUCUCUCUGAUGACGCUGCAGGCCUAAAUGGGAAACCCCAGCAGCAUUUUUGCUUGCAUGACUCCAGGCCCUGCACCACGAGAGCGUGCCCAGGACACGUCAGAGACCACUCUGCUGAGACUGGGGAUAGCACCUGAAGGCCUGUGGAGAGGGCAGCUGCUCCUGGCUCGCUGCCCCACAUUCUUGGCUGCUUCCUGCCUUGGUGCCUUACUUGUUGUGCCAGCUGGAGCCUUGGGAGAGCUGCUGCUGAUUUAAUGGCUCAAUAAAUUCCCCAGUGCAAAUACGGAUGAAAGCA